UACGUAGGUCCCGAGCGUUGUCCGGAUUUAUUGGGCGUAAAGCGAGCGCAGGUGGUUUAUUAAGUCUGGUGUAAAAGGCAGUGGCUCAACCAUUGUAUGCAUUGGAAACUGGUGGACUUGAGUGCAGGAGAGGAGAGUGGAAUUCCAUGUGUAGCGGUGAAAUGCGUAGAUAUAUGGAGGAACACCGGUGGCGAAAGCGGCUCUCUGGCCUGUAACUGACACUGAGGCUCGAAAGCGUGAGGAGCAAACAGG
This 252-nucleotide ribosomal RNA is filed under the name uncultured bacterium. RNAcentral's name for it is "partial 16S ribosomal RNA". It matches the Rfam family "Bacterial small subunit ribosomal RNA", at positions 524 to 776 of the family's 1533-position model. The record is from RNAcentral.